GUAAAGGUCAUCGAUACUGUCAAUAGUACAGUAUAUGUUAUCAAUACUAUCUAUUCUACAGUAUAGAUAAUCAACUCUAAUCAACUCUCUAUAUUAAAUGAUUACCAAUACUCUAUAUUGCGUUAUAGGUUAUCAAUACUAUCUAUAUUACAUAUUGGUUAUCAAUACUAUCUAUAUUAGAGUAUAGUUUAUAAAUACUAUAUUACAGUACAGGUUAUCAAUAUUGUCAAUAUUACCUUUCUUUCUCUCUCUCUCUCUCCCCCUCCCCUCUCUCUCUCCCCCAUCUCUCUCUCCCCCAGUCCCUCCCCUUGUGUCUCUGACAGCUGCAGCCUCCACAGACACCAGCAGCCUCGCCCUCCUCCUCCCCCAUCUUCCCCCUGCCUGCCCCCUCCUCCUCAGCCCUCCUCUCCUGCCCGGGACAUCAAGGAGAACAAGAGGGUCCACUUUGAUCUGGAGAGUCUACACAGCUACCGUCUACACACACACACCGCCUCGUUCUGGGGACGUCCUGGCAUGGUGGGGCGACACGGCCUGGGAGGGUGUCUGGGUGGUUUAUCUCCUCCUCAGGUUAGCCUGCAUGCUAACGGUGGCCCAGCAUCGGCCCUGGCCUCCCCCGGCCUGGCCCUGCCUCCUCUGGGGAACCCAGGCAACCAGGCCUUCCUGUGGGAGGGAGAGCUCCUGGAGGUCCAGGGGAGGAUCGAGACGUUCACAGCCCAGCUGAGAGACGCCGUGGCCAGGAGAGCCGAGAUACAGACCUGCCUGGAGAACCAUAAAAUGAACUUGAGCGCAGCUACUGCUGUCAAACUGGAGAAAGACAAGGUUGGCCAGUCACAAAGCCUGGAGAGAGUGAGAACCAACGCAGAGAAAGAUAGAACCAAGGAAGAGAGAGAGGGGCUCAACCAGGAGAAAGGGAGGAGUGGCAGAUCAAACCUCUGUUGCAGCCUGGACAGAAACAGAGACAGAGACAGGACAGGCAGGGACAGUUCCACUAUGAGACAAACAGCCAGACAGGACACAGACAGGGACAGACUGUUACACCAAUCAGAAACUGAGAGAGACCGAGAUGACCAAUCAAAAAGCCUGGACAGAAAUGGGAGCAGCCAAUCACAUGCCUCCAACAUUCUGCAGACAGGGAGGAACAGCCAAUCAGAAGCUCUGACCAUCCUACAGAGGAGAGAGAUCCAAUCAAAAACCUCCACCAGCCUGGACAGAGAGACAUCCAACCAAUCAGGUGCUGUCAAUACACUGCAGGGAGAAAGAACUGUCCAAUCACAUAACUCCACCAGCCUGGAGAGAGGAAGAGUCAGGCAAUCAGGUGCAGUGAAAGACCAGGAGAGGGGGAGAACUGUCCAAACACGGACAGGGGCUAGUCUGGACAGACUGAAAGCUAGCCAAUCCAGUGCCGGCACUGGGAAUCUGGUUAGAGAACGUCCCGCCCCCAUGGACACCCAGAAGAGUUUGUGUUAGUCGUUUGAUUGGUUAUUUAUAAGAACACAAAAGACCAAUUAGAGGGCUGGAAAAGAAUAUAACAGGUCCAAAUGAUGAUGAGUUUAAAAAAACAAUGACAGAGAUGUGGCACUGGUCCAUUUGCCUCUGAUGUCAACGGCUGCUGUCUGUUAACAAAAUGUCUGAUCAGAACUUUACCCAUCUACUGUUUGUCUCCACUAGGUGUGUUUCCUUUUUGUUUCUAACUACUAAUAGCUCUUUCUCUUCAUCUCGUACCCCUGGGUUGUGUUCACUAGGAACCAAACAGAAGCAAACAGAACAAAACGGGAAGGGACCUACCUGAAUUUGUCCAAUAGACAAAUCUCGUUUUUGUUGCAGAAGGUUUUUCUGCUUGGAGCGAACGAACGGUUUCCGUUGCAAUGGUUUGUGACACUGUAUACACCCCAGGUCUGUAGUCAGUUCUGAGUGGGUCAUUCAAGGUACACAUGGGGCUCCUAAAUGUUCAAUCAAGUGCUAUCUCCGCCCGACCGGGUAAGAAUCGGCUAUCCCAGAGGGCAAACUACACGUGUCCACUGUCAUUGUCCUGACUGAUCCUCUAUAAGGACCUUGAGUUGGUUUGAUACUAUGCAGUUGAAUUGAAUUUCAUUUAAUGGAAUUUGGAUGUCAUGGUGGUGUCAAAUGUAUGUAACAAAAGUCGAACCUGGAAGUGGAUGAAAAAGGUGGACGUGGAAAGAGAGAAGGCGGUUGUAUUUCAGCCUAUAGCAGGUGUUUUAGAAGAGAUGCAGGUUGCUAGGUUACCUGUAGAGGACUGAGGAGUGUUGUAGAUAUGUUGUUCUGGUGUUGAUGGGCCGUGUUCGGUGUCCCAUAAUGCUGCCUAUUAACAACAGCUAUAUUCUCAAACACAACAGAAUUGUAUCAGCAUAUUAUUGGGACUCGUAUCAUGUUGUUGUAUAUCAUUUCCAUAUUUUUAAAUUAAACAUUUAUAUACUGGUUUUAAUGCAACAAAUUA
Long non-coding RNA from Oncorhynchus tshawytscha (Chinook salmon), 2455 nucleotides. The record is from Ensembl. Lineage: Eukaryota; Metazoa; Chordata; Actinopteri; Salmoniformes; Salmonidae.